Molecule: transfer RNA, 69 nt
Filed under: Rheum officinale
Lineage: Eukaryota; Viridiplantae; Streptophyta; Magnoliopsida; Caryophyllales; Polygonaceae
Description: tRNA-Leu
Source: RNAcentral
AAUGAAAUGAUCCAAAAAUAGUAUAUAUAUUUUAGAAAUAUUAAAAACUUUCUAUUGAUUUUUUUAUUU